ACGGAGGGUGCAAGCGUUGUUCGGAUUUACUGGGCGUAAAGAGCGUGUAGGCGGUUUAGCAAGUCAGAUGUGAAAGCCCUGGGCUCAACCCGGGAAGUGCAUUUGAAACUGCUUCACUAGAGUAUGGGAGAGGAGAUUGGAAUUCCUGGUGUAGAGGUGAAAUUCGUAGAUAUCAGGAGGAACACCCGUGGCGAAGGCGAUUCUCUGGACCAAUACUGACGCUGAGACGCGAAAGCGUGGGGAGCAAACAGGAUUAGAUACCCUGGUAGUCCACGCCCUAAACGAUGGGCACUAGGUGCAGGGGGUGUUGACCCCUCCUGUGCCGCAGCUAACGCAUUAAGUGCCCCGCCUGGGGAGUACGGCCGCAAGGUUGAAACUCAAAGGAAUUGACGGGGGUCCGCACAAGCGGUGGAUCAUGUGGUUUAAUUCGAUGAUACGCGAAGAACCUUACCUGGGCUUGAACUGUACCUGACAGGUGUAGAGAUACACUCUCCUUCGGGCAGGUAUAGAGGUGCUGCAUGGUUGUCGUCAGCUCGUGUCGUGAGAUGUUGGGUUAAGUCCCGCAACGAGCGCAACCCUUACCCCUUGUUGCUAACAGGUAAUGCUGUGCACUCUAGGGGGACAGCCGGUGACAAGCCGGAGGAAGGUGAGGAUGACGUCAAAUCAGCACGGCCCUUAUGUCCAGGGCUACACACGUGAUACAAUGGCCGGUACAAAGAGUUGCGAUACCGCGAGGUGGAGCCAAUCUCAAAAAACCGGUCCCCAUCAAUUGCAGUCUGCAACUCGACUGCAUGAAGUUGGAAUCGCUAG
This 810-nucleotide ribosomal RNA is filed under the name uncultured bacterium. RNAcentral describes it as "bacterial SSU rRNA". It matches the Rfam family "Bacterial small subunit ribosomal RNA", at positions 525 to 1338 of the family's 1533-position model. The record is from RNAcentral.